AGCAGCCGCGGUAAUUCCAGCUCCAAUAGCGUAUAUUAAAGUUGUUGCAGUUAAAAAGCUCGUAGUUGAAUUUCGAGACCGGCUUACUGGUCGUGCUUUUGUACGUACUGGUAUAAUCGGUUUCUCCUUUCUGACGAACUAUAAUGCCAUUAAUUUGGUGUUAUAGGGAAUCAGGACUGUUACUUUGAAAAAUUAGAGUGUUUAAAGCAGGCUCACGCUUGAAUACAUUAGCAUGGAAUAACGGAAUAGGACGUUUGAUUCUAUUUUGUUGGUUUCUAGGAUCGACGUAAUGAUUAAUAGGGAUAGUUGGGGGCAUUAGUAUUCAAUUGUCAGAGGUGAAAUUCUUGGAUUUAUUGAAGACUAACUACUGCGAAAGCAUUUGCCAAGGAUGUUUUCAUUAAUCAAGUAACGAAAGUUAGGGGAUCGAAGACGAUCAGAUACCGUCGUAGUCUUAACCAUAAACUAUGCCGACUAGGGAU
RNAcentral lists this ribosomal RNA (479 nucleotides) under uncultured Glomus. RNAcentral's name for it is "SSU rRNA". It matches the Rfam family "Eukaryotic small subunit ribosomal RNA", at positions 569 to 1053 of the family's 1831-position model. Lineage: Eukaryota; Fungi; Glomeromycota; Glomeromycetes; Glomerales; Glomeraceae. The record is from RNAcentral.